Molecule: long non-coding RNA, 381 nt
Filed under: Dasypus novemcinctus (nine-banded armadillo)
Lineage: Eukaryota; Metazoa; Chordata; Mammalia; Cingulata; Dasypodidae
Description: lncRNA (ENSDNOG00000052387.1)
Source: RNAcentral
GGCGCCGCGGGCCGCGGGGACGAGAGGCCGCCGCCGCGCUCUGCUCGCACCCAGCCUCCCGCGGCCAUCGCGCCCGGCCCGGCUUCGGCCUCAGCCAGAAGAAUUAACUGUGAGCCCGCACAAUUUUAAGAACAAAGCCUUUAAAAAGUCCAAAGUCUGUGGCAUUUGCAAACAAAUCAUUGAUGGUCAAGGUAUUUCAUGCCGAGGUAAGUUCACGUAUGUAAUUUUUUUGCUGAUGUGCAGUGAGACAAACCCAUAAAAUACAAAAUAAGUGUGUUUUUCUUUUUUUUGGUGGUUUCCACAGACUCAUUUGGAAUUUCCCUUCAGAGCCCAUUUUCACCCCCGCCCUGUCUUGGUGGGGACCAACAGAAUUUGCACAAA